GAUGAACGCUGGCGGCGUGCCUAAUACAUGCAAGUAGAACGCUGAAGCUUGGUGCUUGCACCGAGCGGAUGAGUUGCGAACGGGUGAGUAACGCGUAGGUAACCUGCCUCUUAGCGGGGGAUAACUAUUGGAAACGAUAGCUAAUACCGCAUAAAAGUCGAUAUCGCAUGAUGUUGACUUGAAAGGUGCAAUUGCAUCACUAAGAGAUGGACCUGCGUUGUAUUAGCUAGUUGGUGAGGUAACGGCUCACCAAGGCGACGAUACAUAGCCGACCUGAGAGGGUGAUCGGCCACACUGGGACUGAGACACGGCCCAGACUCCUACGGGAGGCAGCAGUAGGGAAUCUUCGGCAAUGGGGGCAACCCUGACCGAGCAACGCCGCGUGAGUGAAGAAGGUUUUCGGAUCGUAAAGCUCUGUUGUAAGAGAAGAACGAGUGUGAGAGUGGAAAGUUCACACUGUGACGGUAACUUACCAGAAAGGGACGGCUAACUACGUGCCAGCAGCCGCGGUAAUACGUAGGUCCCGAGCGUUAUCCGGAUUUAUUGGGCGUAAAGCGAGCGCAGGCGGUUAGAUAAGUCUGAAGUUAAAGGCUGUGGCUUAACCAUAGUACGCUUUGGAAACUGUUUAACUUGAGUGCAGAAGGGGAGAGUGGAAUUCCAUGUGUAGCGGUGAAAUGCGUAGAUAUAUGGAGGAACACCGGUGGCGGAAGCGGCUCUCUGGUCUGUAACUGACGCUGAGGCUCGAAAGCGUGGGGAGCAAACAGG
RNAcentral lists this ribosomal RNA (765 nucleotides) under uncultured Streptococcus sp. RNAcentral describes it as "bacterial SSU rRNA". It matches the Rfam family "Bacterial small subunit ribosomal RNA", at positions 28 to 776 of the family's 1533-position model. The record is from RNAcentral. Lineage: Bacteria; Bacillati; Bacillota; Bacilli; Lactobacillales; Streptococcaceae.